GGGACGGAGGGUGGGGGGUAGGGUGGGACCCAGCACCUAGGUCGUGUGACACUGUCCUCCUGCCUUGGCACCUCAUGCUUGGGGCUUUGGGACAUAUGUCUGUGCUCAUAACUAGGAUGCUGUGAUUCCCUUCUCUUGCCUCAUAUCUGCUCACAUAGGAGUCAAUAACAUAUUGCUGGGCCCGCCAUCCAGUUACAUUCCUUCUCUGUCAUGACCCUCUUCUCAGAAAGCAUUGCGACACACUGUUGAGUCCACAGUCAAUGUGAUGUGAGUCCCCUGCGUGAACCCUGCCCACAGAGACCAUUGUGACGUCAUGUCUGGGGACUCAACUAUUCUCAGUGAUUGUCUUGUUACCCCUGCUCUUUGCCCACAGGAGCGGAUGUGGCUUGUCUCUGGGCCCAGCACCCAGGUGAGGUAACUGUGCUCGCCUGACUGGGCUGCGCUUACAAAAGAAAGAGUGACUUGUCACCGGGCCCGGCACACAGGCGAUGCGGUCCCCUUGUCUGGGUUCUCGUCCACAGGUAUCAUCAUGACAUACUUUUGGUCUCUUCUGCUGGGUGGCCUGUGUCGCCCCCUUCUUCCUGGGAAGUGUCCACCGACACUGAAAUGGAACAUUUCACCUGACUCAGCACCUACACGACCUGUCUCUCGUAUUACGCCUUGGCUUUUCCCACCGGGCUGAUUGGGACAUACAGCUGAGCACAGCCUCUAGGCUAUUUAACUCUUCUCUUCUCACGUGGUCCUACCCACAGGAGGUAUUGGGAUAUAUUUCUAAGCACUUCACCUAGGUAAUGACCCUUUUUGGGGCUUUCCCCGGAUACGGUACGGUGACCUAUUUCUGGACCAGCACCGAGGCGAUGUCCCUCAUUUCUCCUACCUGUUGCCUGUUAGGGCAAAGGAAUUCCUAGGGGUGUGAGUCUACAGAAACCGCGAUUCUUGCCUCCUCAGGAGAAACGACUCCACCGAGGGCCGUAAAGCAGGAGAGUUUCCGAGCAGCAGUAAACGUGUAUGAAGAAGCUUCGGAAGCGGAAGAGAAGGAGGGAAAGUACGCGUGGCAGAGUGCCAAGAGGAUGACUCACAAGGCAAAAGCAGGAUGCGACCUUUCGACCUGGCGUUUUAUAUGUUGGAAUGCCUCUGGGUUGUGGUUGUUGGUCGCGGUGUUGUCUUUCUUUGUUUUUCGUUUUGUUUCGUUUUUCUUCUUUUUUUAAAAGACGGAGUCUCGCCCUCUCGCCCAGGCUGGAGUUCAAUGGCCGGAUCUCGGCUCACCGCAACCUCCACCCCUCGGGUUCCGGUAAUUCUCCUGCCCCAGCCUCCCAAGUCGCUGCGGUUACAGGCGUCUGCCACCACGCCCGGCUAAUUUUUUUUUAACUUUUGUAUGUGACCUCCGCAAGGGUGCCUGUCGCUCAGCUCUCUGUGGCUUCCUAAGUCGUGGUGACCUGAUGACGUUCACCGUUUUCUUCCCCGAGCUCGGCGGGGAAACAGAAACUCCCAGGGAUCCGUGGAAAAGCAGCAGCGUGUCGCUGCCCUUUCUAUCCAGGUUGCCGAGACUCCCCGUGUGGCAGGAAACAGGAAUGCCUCGUCAGGCCGUCUCUGCCCGGGAGAGUUUCUGUCUCCGUGCCUUCGCUCUCGUUUUCUAGAGGAACACGAACCGGAUCCACGCAGCUGCGUGUGUGAGAGUGUCGCGGCCACGGCGACACCCACAGACGUGGACGCCUUGACGGAGAGGGGGGGCUUGGAAAACUCAGGCCUGUCACGGGGGUUCGCUUCUGCACGCCACCCUCCCUGGUGACGUGUUCGAGCCCGGAGAGAGGCUUCCAGUUUCCGUAGAAUUCCUGGAGAACCCCAGAGGUCCAGCCCCCGAAGCCCCGCGUGUCCCUCCCCCGCCGCUCAGGCCCCACCCCCGACCACCCCACAGGGCCCUGGUGUCCCUGUGGUUUCCGGCUUGAGAGGGCGGGCUACCCCGCCCUGGGUCCCCGGAGCUCAUGCAAAUUCAGGAAGGGGUGGGGCCGCUAGGUCUCUAUAAAAGCGGCCCCUGGCUGGCGGGGCCGGACUCCUGGCUUGACCUGCCUGCAGGUGCGGUGCACAGCAGAGGUUGGCUGAGGCGCGCGGGAGCCGCCGGGCCUCUGUGUGCCUGUGUCUGUCUGUGACACUCGGCCCGGUCUCCCCGCGAUGGCUCUCCCCACAGCUCCCGGCAGCCCUCUCCCGGCGGAGGCCCGAGGGCGAGGAAGGCGAAAGAGGCUCGUUUGGACUCCGAGCCAGAGGGACGCCCUGCGAGCGUCCUUUGAGCGGAACCCGUACCCGGGCAUGGCCACCAGAGAACAGCUGGCCCAGGCCAUCGGCGUUCCGGAGCCCAGGGUCCAGAUUUGGUUUCAGAACGAGAGAUCGCGCCGGCUGAGGCAGCACCGGCGGGAAUCCAGGCCCUGGCCUGGGCCACGCGGCCCGCCAGAAGGCCGGCGAAAGCGGACGGCCGUGACCCAGUCCCAGACCGCCGUGCUCCUCCGGGCCUUCGAGCGAGAGCGCUUUCCGGACUUCGCCACCAGGGAGGAACUGGCCAGAGAGACGGGCCUCCCGGAGUCCAGGAUUCAGAUUUGGUUUCAGAAUCGAAGGGCCAGGCAUCCAGGCCGGGCUGGCAGGGGACCCGCGGCCGCAGGCGGCCCGCGCGACACGGCCCCCGGCGGGCGCGGCUCCUCUGCUCGCUCCUGGGUCGCCUCCACCCACACCGGGGCGUGGGGGGCGGCGCUUCCCGCACCCCAAGUGCCCUGCGCGCCUGGGGCCCUCCCACAGGGGCCCGUCGUGAGCCAGGCAGCAGGGGCCGUGCCCCUGCUCCUGCACGGACAGGCCCCACAGGCAGAAGGAAUCUCGCAACCUGACCCGGCGCUCGGGGCCCUCGGGGCUUUCGGGUUCGCCGCCCUGGCUCCUUCGGGGGUGGCGCUCCCCCAGCCUCAGAGCCUUCCGGGGCCUCCGCACCCGGGCAGAUGCCACGAGGAGCGGGAGCCGCAGCACGCCGGCCUGCCGGGGACGUGCUCCGUGGGACAGCUUGGGCCCGCUCAAGCCGACUCACAGGGGCGAGGUGUGCAGGGUCCCUGGUGGGGCUGGGGCCAGGGGCCCCAGGUGGCCGGGGCGGCAGGGGAACCCCAAGCCGCGCCACCUCCACCUCCGCAGCCCGCACCCCCGGAGGCCUCCGCCUGGCAGGGGCAGAUGCCAGCCCUGCAGGCGCCUUCCCAAGCGCUCCAGGAGCCGGAGGAGCGCUCGUCUGCGCUCACCUCCAGCCUGCUGGACGAGCUCCUGUCGACCCCAGAGUUUCAGCAGCAGGCACGACCUUUCCUAGAGACGGAGCCACUGGGGGAGCUGAAGGAGGUGGAAGAGCUCGCUUCCCUGGAGCCACCCCUCAGCGAGGAAGAAUACCGGGCUCUGCUGGAGGAGCUUUAAAAGCGGCGUGUCUUGGCGUCUCGCCCUCCCGCUGACCUGUCUGGGAUCCCUGAGUGCCAGGUCCGUCCGUCCGGACCAACGGAGGGACCCCACAGCCUUAAAGCAUUUCGGGAGCUCAAUGCGAUGCGUGCCAGUCCUCGUUUCACCCACGGGGUUCACAGACGGCAUAUCCCCACGGCGAACCCUGCAACGGAGCGCGAGGCAGUCUCAUCCCCACAGGGGUCACCCUCGGGCCGAUUGAAGCGUGAUUUCCGACUUCAGCCUGUGAUCGGCUGGGUGUGCGCGUGCGCGCGUGUGCAUGGAUUUGAGGCUCCUGCGGCCUGUCUUGCCGUUUCGCUGACCUGCCUGGGAGCCCUCAGUUCUAGGUCCGUCCGGUGAGAGACAGCACACAGGGCGGGGCUGUGCUGUCAUUCUCUCCCCAGCAUCUAGGGAACCCCAGAACCCGCCCAGGGCCCGGGAGCUGGGCGGUCUAGUGCGCGUGCGCGGGUCUGCAGGCAGCCCGCGGCCGCUUCUGGGGACCAGCGCAGGCAGAGCUGUCGGCCCUCCUCGCAGCCCUGCCCCCACGCCACCCGGCCUACUUCAGGAGGGUGGGCGGAGGGAGCGUUUCGCCCCCCCCCCCCGGAAACACCGGGCCGGGUCCCCAGGCAGGCCGGCUCUCCAUUCCGCUGCACCCCUCUUCUGCCUCCCCGAUUCGCCCACCGAUCACUCGCACACCGGUGCCCCGCCAGCUUCCCCGCCAUCACCGAGUAGCGCCUGGCAGCUCAAUAUAGACCCGAGACCACUCCUCCCACGGCCCCGCUACGAACGACCCCGCGGGCAAACGGAAGGGCUGCUUUCUCCAGGCCGGAGGGAAGGCGGGUAGAGAAGCGGGGAGGAUCCCAGGCCGCGAGGGAGGGACGAGGGAAGGGAGGGAAGGACGCAA
Molecule: non-coding RNA, 4351 nt
Organism: Callithrix jacchus (white-tufted-ear marmoset)
Lineage: Eukaryota; Metazoa; Chordata; Mammalia; Primates; Cebidae
Source: RefSeq, a predicted model, not a curated record